Molecule: ribosomal RNA, 333 nt
Filed under: uncultured eukaryote
Lineage: Eukaryota
Description: partial 18S ribosomal RNA
Rfam family: Eukaryotic small subunit ribosomal RNA
Source: RNAcentral
CCCUUAGAUGUCCGGGGCUGCACGCGCGCCACACUGAGUGGAUCAGCGUGUGUCUACCCUUCGCCGAGAGGCGUGGGUAACCCGCUGAACCCCACUCGUGAUAGGGAUUGGGGAUUGCAAUUAUUUCCCAUGAACGAGGAAUUCCCAGUAAGCGCGGGUCAUAAGCUCGCGUUGAUUAAGUCCCUGCCCUUUGUACACACCGCCCGUCGCUACUACCGAUUGGAUGGUUUAGUGAGGUCCUCGGAUCGGCCCCGCCGGGGUCGGUCACGGCCCUGGCGGAGCGCCGAGAAGACGAUCAAACUUGACUAUCUAGAGGAAGUAAAAGGCGUAACA